AGCGCGUGGCGCGUGCAGGCGAACGUUCCUCCCUCGUUCCUUUAGGCGGAACGUACAGUAAUUCAUUCUUUUAAAAAAAAAUGCCACGUGGCUGGCGGCGGCGGCGUUGUCCUCUUUUCCACCCAUCUCGUGCUCUAGGUUCUCCAGGAGUUAAUAAACUUCUGUAAAGUCCUUCGGUUCUCCCCAUUUUCCAGGAGAGGAAACGAACGGAGCCAUCCGUCUGUUGAAGAAGGUGGCUCCUCUGGUGAUAAAUCUAAGCCGGAUCCCAACUUUUU
Molecule: non-coding RNA, 275 nt
Organism: Pogona vitticeps (central bearded dragon)
Lineage: Eukaryota; Metazoa; Chordata; Lepidosauria; Squamata; Agamidae
Source: RefSeq, a predicted model, not a curated record